GCAUGGACCUGGGGAAAGGGGAAGAAGAGGAUGUGGAGUGAGAGGAAACUUGGCCUUUGGGCCCAGACUCACAAGUGGAAAGGUCUGUCUGAGGAAUUUGGGGACACAGAAGUCCUUCCUUCAGUUAUAACUAAUGGCAUCAGCCUUCAGCUGGGAUCAAAAGUUGCCUCCAAGUGCACAAGACCCACUUCUGGAUGUGUGAAUACAAAAGAAAUGGAACUUCUGAGAUGCAGCCACCACAAGCAGGACAUAAGGGACAUUCAAAGAUGGAGCUGGCAAGAAGAGCCAUUCUGGGGAGAUGCUGAACAGACACGGACCAACAGAGGCCCCAGAGACCAGCGGGGGUGCCAGGGAAGAGAUGAUUGUCAGGAAAUUGGUUUGAAGGUAAAACUGGCGUCGUCCAGCCUGUCUGUUCGUGAUUUGAGGGCUCAUCAUCAUCUUUUCAUGGAUUCCUACUGCCCAACAAUGUCCACGCCUUGCAAAGUGUUCCUUGAUCUCCAGGUUUGUAACCAGAGGGCUGCUGCAAAAAUUGUUGUGCUGGCCAAUGGCUUAGACCACAUCAUUCCUUCCUGAGCUCCUCCCUGGCACCCUCUCUUCUCUGCCCCAAUUGUGGAGUGCUCAUCUUCCCGCUCCCAGCCCAUCAUUAUCCAC
Long non-coding RNA from Myiozetetes cayanensis, 651 nucleotides. RefSeq lists it as uncharacterized. The transcript has 3 exons. The record is from RefSeq and is a predicted model, not a curated record. Lineage: Eukaryota; Metazoa; Chordata; Aves; Passeriformes; Tyrannidae.